Long non-coding RNA from Coregonus clupeaformis (lake whitefish), 964 nucleotides. RefSeq lists it as uncharacterized. The transcript is spliced from 4 exons. The record is from RefSeq and is a predicted model, not a curated record. NCBI's taxonomy places the organism in Eukaryota, Metazoa, Chordata, Actinopteri, Salmoniformes, Salmonidae.
GUCGUACUUAGGCCCACAAACUGGAGGAGAAAGAAAAACAGCUGAAGAAACAGGACACACUCUACAGGGAGCAGGCGGCCAAGCUGAAGGAGAGGAGAUGUCAGUUCUUCAAAGUCACCACAGAGAACUUCAAGAAGGGCAAAGAGGACGUUCACAACACCUUCAAGCGUGUUGACAUCAAGCCAGUGUGUGAUGACCUGCAGAGUCGGAUCCUGAAGUGCUACAGGGAGAACACAGGACAGACCCUCGCCUGCUCUGGCAUCGCCAACCUCUACAUGCAGUGUGUGGAUAACCACAAGACUAAGAGCACUGGAGGUUAGAAAAGCCAAUUGCAUUACUGUUAAACCAAAGGGACAGGAGCCGGGCGCCAUCAGCCAUCAUGGCACACCAAAGCCAGUUGAACUGUACAGACACCAGGGCCACAGCAGCUGGAGACACUCAUAUGUUCCACCAUCCCUUAAUGCCAUUCACGGUAUCUGUAUCAACUUGGCAGAGGGUCAGAGGUAGAACGAGGAGACCAUGUCUUGACCCAGUCCAGGCUGUGACAGACCACUGGUACUGUUUUCACUAGUACUGAUGUCAAAAGAUGUGGUAGAUUGGGUCCGAAAGUGAAGGACGUGCACACCUCUGGUUCAAAUUGACACUGCUACUACCACAGGAAAUGGACAGUGUUACCAUGACUAUACUAUCGCAAGAAAUUAAGCAUAUCUGGUGCUUCAAACACAUCUCAUCCCUAACUGGAAAUAAACACAGCAUAUCAUAUAUCCACCAAUCGAAAGAAUGGGAUUCAUGUUUUGCUAUUUACAGCAGCAAGAAACAUAAGGAAUGGCCGAGUUGUGAAAUAUUGUGCAACGUUUGUUGAGUUAAUAUGCACCUAUGCCUUAAUGUCCCAUCAAAACACAAAUGUUGCCAAUGCAAAAAAUAAUGUACUGUUGAUCGUUAUUGUUAAACAUAUAUAUAAAGA